GGGGGGGGGGGGGGGGUUUGUUUGGACCAAAUGGACCAGCUUUUCCAAUGUUCUCAUUUCUGAAAACCAUCCAUCCCAUCACCCAAAAUUGGCGCAAUGAGCUCCUAAGAGCCUUCAGCACAUGGACUCCCCUCUGUGAGUUGGGAUGUGCUUUUUGCACUUAUUGUGGGCCUGUAUGUUAUAUUUGGAUCAAUUGGAAUAGUUGUAGGCCAGAAUGUGGUGUUGGUGGUGGCGAGAUUUUCCUGUUUUUGGAGAGUACGCCUUUUAUAUUCCAUCGUUUUGGAGAAAGAGCACGACCUCCUUGUGCAUCCGAGACGACCAAGUGAAAAAGCACUGACCGUCGUGCACUGACAUUCACAUGUGACUCUUUCUUGAAUUCCUUUAACGUUUUUAUUACAUUGCCAAAGAACCUGUGCUUAAAUCCAAGGUAGUACAUUUUUACGCUUCCCAAAGACACCCAGUUCCUACAAUCCCAGAACCAACGACUGAGAUCUAGCAUAUUCAAAUGUGCGACUAGGAAGACUAACUCUACUUCCAUCCUCUGAUAUUUUGAAUAUCAUUCUCCAAGGGUAUGCCUGAAAUGGUGCCAUCUAUGAUUUUCCUAGCCGAAAACAUGUUGCACAAAAUUCAUGUUUGGGUUGAACAUGUUUCAUGGAGCUUUAUAUCAUUAUUCCUGUAUAAUUGUAUUUCAGGAGCGUGAUUGGUCGGCAAUUGAUCAGCAUAUCCAGCUUAAAUUAUACGGCCCUUUCCAUUUCCCUAAAAAAAAGUAAUUGUAAAAAAAAAUGUUAUUUUGCUCUAAUUUGCUUCUCCAUAUGUUAUGAGCUAUGUAUAAGAUAUCAGCAAUCAUUUGGCUGAAGCAAUCAUCAGUUGUGGUGUAAAUAUGAUGAAUAGGCAGCUGUAAGGCUGAAACUCCAUAUGCACCUGUUCUAUUAUUGGAUUUAUUUUUAAACUGUGUUUUAAAUUGCGUCUUACAGGGUUUUGUGUAUGCUGCAUGAAAAAAGUGGAUGGUUUUAAUUGAUUUGGACUUUAAAUCGGCCUCGUGUCUUAUUUCCUUGCUUUCUGCCAGCUAAUGUGUAGCAAAGCUUUUCAGUUAUAAGAAAACUUGAGCAUUAAGUGAUGGAAAUGUUAUGCGUUUGAUCGAAUGCCGAUUGAGUUCAUUUCCUGACAAACUGCAGACAAGAUGGGGCUGUGUGUGAGUUGGUUGGUUUCUUUUUAUUUUUUAUCUUUAUUAAUUUAUAAAUGCGAGUCUGAAAAAUGUUACUGUGAAAUUUGUCAUAUCAACUUCCAAAAGAGCAAGUGAAGCCUUUGUUUUUUUGUUCGAGGCCAAUGAAUGUAACUCGUUUACCCAUGUUCAUAGUUAAUUAAAGAUGUACACAAGCACUACCACUAAAAAUAAAGUU
Long non-coding RNA from Sinocyclocheilus grahami, 1400 nucleotides. RefSeq lists it as uncharacterized. NCBI's taxonomy places the organism in Eukaryota, Metazoa, Chordata, Actinopteri, Cypriniformes, Cyprinidae. The record is from RefSeq and is a predicted model, not a curated record. The transcript has 2 exons.